This 253-nucleotide ribosomal RNA is filed under the name uncultured bacterium. RNAcentral's name for it is "partial 16S ribosomal RNA". It matches the Rfam family "Bacterial small subunit ribosomal RNA", at positions 524 to 776 of the family's 1533-position model. The record is from RNAcentral.
UACAGAGGGGGCAAGCGUUGUCCGGAAUUACUGGGCGUACAGCGCGCGCAGGCGGACCGCCACGUGCCGUGGGACAAGCCACUGCUCAACAGUGGAGGGCCAGGGUACACGAGCGGUCUGGAGGCAGGGAGAGGGAUGUGGAAUGCCCGGUGGAGCGGUGAAAUGCGUAGAGAUCGGGCGGAACACCAGCGGCGAAGGCGGCAUCCUGGUCCUGUUCUGACGCUGAGGCGCGAGAGCGUGGGGAGCGAACAGG